UUAACGACUCUCGGCAACGGAUAUCUCGGCUCUCGCAUCGAUGAAGAACGUAGCGAAAUGCGAUACUUGGUGUGAAUUGCAGAAUCCCGUGAACCAUCGAGUCUUUGAACGCAAGUUGCGCCCUAGGCCAUCGGGCCGAGGGCACGCCUGCCUGGGCGUCACGC
This 164-nucleotide ribosomal RNA is filed under the name Sleumerodendron austrocaledonicum. Its description in RNAcentral is "5.8S ribosomal RNA". It matches the Rfam family "5.8S ribosomal RNA". From Rfam's summary of the family: 5.8S ribosomal RNA (5.8S rRNA) is a component of the large subunit of the eukaryotic ribosome. It is transcribed by RNA polymerase I as part of the 45S precursor that also contains 18S and 28S rRNA. RNAcentral also lists the same sequence under 2 other names. Lineage: Eukaryota; Viridiplantae; Streptophyta; Magnoliopsida; Proteales; Proteaceae. The record is from RNAcentral.